RNAcentral lists this ribosomal RNA (253 nucleotides) under uncultured bacterium. Its description in RNAcentral is "partial 16S ribosomal RNA". It matches the Rfam family "Bacterial small subunit ribosomal RNA", at positions 524 to 776 of the family's 1533-position model. The record is from RNAcentral.
UACAGAGGUGGCAAGCGUUGUUCGGAAUUACUGGGCGUAAAGAGCGUGUAGGCGGCUUUGCAAGUCCGUUGUGAAAACUCGAGGCUCAACCUCGAGACGCCGGUGGAAACUGCAAAGCUAGAGUCCGGAAGAGGAGAGUGGAAUUCCUGGUGUAGCGGUGAAAUGCGCAGAUAUCAGGAAGAACACCCGUGGCGAAGGCGGCUCUCUGGGACGGUACUGACGCUGAGACGCGAAAGCGUGGGGAGCGAACAGG